CCGUGCUUGCUUGUGCUGAGGCUGGGGGAGCCGCCAUUUUGGGUGCUGAGCUUUAAGUGCCAAGUUCCUUUCACCCGUUUUCACGCCUGGAUUCAGCCAGGAGGAACAGCACAGCAUGCUGGGCUCUGGAUUUAAAGCUGAGCGUUUACGAGUCAAUUUGCGAUUAGUCAUAAACCGUCUUAAACUAUUG
Molecule: non-coding RNA, 190 nt
Organism: Leptonychotes weddellii (Weddell seal)
Lineage: Eukaryota; Metazoa; Chordata; Mammalia; Carnivora; Phocidae
Source: RefSeq, a predicted model, not a curated record